GUGGGGAAUAUUGCGCAAUGGGGGAAACCCUGACGCAGCAACGCCGCGUGAGCGAAGAAGGCCUUCGGGUCGUAAAGCUCUGUCUUCUCUGACGAUAAUGACGGUAAGAGAGGAGGAAGCCACGGCUAACUACGUGCCAGCAGCCGCGGUAAUACGUAGGUGGCGAGCGUUGUCCGGAAUUACUGGGCGUAAAGGGUGCGUAGGCGGGAUAUUAAGUCAGAUGUGAAAACCCAGGGCUCAACUGUGGGACUGCAUUUGAAACUGAUAUUCUAGAGUGCAGGAGAGGGAAGCGGAAUUCCUAGUGUAGCGGUGAAAUGCGUAGAUAUUAGGAAGAACACCAGUGGCGAAGGCGGCUUCCUGGACUGUAACUGACGCUGAGGCACGAAAGCGUGGGGAGCAAACAGGAUUAGAAACCCUAGUAGUCC
This 425-nucleotide ribosomal RNA is filed under the name uncultured bacterium. RNAcentral describes it as "bacterial SSU rRNA". It matches the Rfam family "Bacterial small subunit ribosomal RNA", at positions 354 to 796 of the family's 1533-position model. The record is from RNAcentral.